GUCCACACCGUAAACGAUGAUUACUAGGUGUUGGAGGAUUGACCCCUUCAGUGCCGCAGUUAACACAAUAAGUAAUCCACCUGGGGAGUACGACCGCAAGGUUGAAACUCAAAGGAAUUGACGGGGGCCCGCACAAGCAGUGGAGUAUGUGGUUUAAUUCGACGCAACGCGAAGAACCUUACCAAGUCUUGACAUCCCUUGACGAACAUAGAAAUAUGUUUUCUCUUCGGAGCAAGGAGACAGGUGGUGCAUGGUUGUCGU
This 261-nucleotide ribosomal RNA is filed under the name uncultured bacterium. RNAcentral describes it as "partial 16S ribosomal RNA". It matches the Rfam family "Bacterial small subunit ribosomal RNA", at positions 793 to 1055 of the family's 1533-position model. The record is from RNAcentral.